Molecule: long non-coding RNA, 4693 nt
Filed under: Marmota monax (woodchuck)
Lineage: Eukaryota; Metazoa; Chordata; Mammalia; Rodentia; Sciuridae
Source: RNAcentral
GCUUGCGGCCUGCUGUAGGCCCUCGCGUCGCUGGCUUGCCCUCCGCGGGCACCCUAUGGCGCCGUGUGCUUGGCGGACGCGUCAGGGGAAGACGGUCCGCGGGGGGACGGCGCCGGGAAGGCUGCCGGUGUAUGACGGGGACGCGGCAGCUCCCUCGCAUCUGCGACCCAGCCCCAGCAGUGCGCAAUGGAGGCCGCGACGCGCGCGGGGGUCCCGCCUUCGAGGCAGCGUGAGGCGGGGGGGGGACUGGGUCCCGCCGCCUGGCGGCCCGGGCGGAGGGGAGCCUCGCCCGCACACCGCCCGCGUCGGACCUGCACAUUUUCGGGUUUUGGGUUUCUGCGUCUGCCGGCGCGAGAGGCGCGCUCACGGGCCCGGAAGGUCGGGGGAGCGGGAGGUCUCCGCGAGCCGGUGAGCACGCCCCGGCGCCGCUCCUUCCCUUCUCCGCGACGGCAAGAGCGGCGCGGUGCCGCGCUGGGGAGGGAGGCGUCCCUCGGCGCCUGCUGGGCUCCUUCCCCCGCGCGGGCGCAGUCGGCCCUGGGGAGCAGUUGACGCUCGCCCCGGGGGAUGAGGCCGGUGGCGCCUCCGUGCCCCUGUGCUGCCUGUGCCCCGGGCUCUCUGGGGUCUGGGAGUGGGUGAAAGGCGGCAGGGUCCCCGAGGUGAAGUGAGAACGGGAAGCAGACGCCUGCGUGGGAUGGUCGCGCCCCCUUCAGGAGAAGCGCUGCCGGGGUGGGCCGUGUCCAGCAGACUUAAUUGCAGGACAUCAUAACAAGGAGAGUAGUGCUUCAGUCUGAGGAGUAACAGUGAAGGAAAGUCGUCAAAAAUUAACGACCCUCAGCACCACAUAAAAAUAAGUAAAUAAGAUAAAGCUAACUGUGAAUAUACAUAAAAAUAUACGUAUACUUCGAAUUUGUAAGUAUAUAUUGUAAAUAUAUGUAUUGAAAACAUAUAUAUGUUAAAUUGUUGAACUUUUGUCCGUGCAGUUAUUUUGGUUAUUAUCUGGUAGUAUUCCGUGUUUGUCGUUGUAGAAGUAAAUGCCAAUGAGAUUAAAGGGGAGUGGUGGAAGUGGCCCUGAGGACAAGAUCAGGCCUGCAGGGACAGACACAGAUGGUGUUACAGCUGUUGACUUCAUGCAAUUUUGGCACCUGCUGCUGGACAGGCUAGGGAGCUGGCCAGAGCGGGCAUUGGCUCCCAGUCCCCCUGUUUAUCACUCUGGCCCACCUCAGCUUCCAGGGAGGCAUGAGAGGGAAAUAAGACCAGACCACUAUAGGAUAAGGGUGAAUUAGGUUCUGCUCUCUGUUCCAUCCUGCCAUGGAGCUGGACUUUUGUUUCCUACAAGGCCAGAAAUGAUCCCUGUGGCAGAGGGGACUGAAAGUGCUCUUGGGAUGGAUUUAUUUCAUCAGCAGUGCCACUAAGUGCUCCUGCUUCAGAGUUCUAACCCUCAAGAUGAUGGCCAUAGGAAGUGGGGUCUUUGGGACCACUGAGAGGCCAUGUGCCCCUUCCCACACACAAGGACACAACACUGAGCCAACAGUCAGACUUUUCCAGAUACCAGUUUUGGCUGGUGCCUUGGGCUUCAGCUUCCAGAACUGUGAGAAAUUUGUUUAUAAGCCACCCAUAUGGGUAUUUCUGCUGCAGCAGACUAAGCCAGUGUUAAGUGAGUGCCCCCCAAAAAAAGAUGGGCCUUGGUGGAACAGUCAUUAGAACUAGCCAGAAGGGUCUCACUGGCCAGAGCUCUGACUAUGUGAGCACUAGUAAGUGCUGACUGCUGGAUUAUGGCCACAAUACGGGGCAUUGCCAGUCUGCCAUGUGGGUGUGAGUGGUCCUCAAGUAAGUGGGAAAAUAGCACAAUUCUUCCUGAAUUCCAAUUAAGAAAAAUAUCACUGUGUGAGUUACUGGGUUCCAUCUCCAAUACUGGGGGGAAAAAACAAGUCAAUAAAUGUAGAAGGAAGCAGUCACCUUUAUUUGUGACAGGUAUGAAUCCACUGAUAGUUGCUAAAGUUAAGUAGCAAAAGUUUGAGGUGAAAUAGUGUUUGCAUGGUUUCUGAAUGUCUCCCCUAAAGUACUUAUUUUCCUAGCUUUCUAUUAUUGCUCCAACAGAUUGCUUCAAAUUUAGUGGUUUAGCUGGGCACAGAAGUGCACAUCUGUGAUCCCAGCUGCUUGGGAGGCUGAGGAAGGAGGAUCACAAGCUUAAGGCCAACAAUUUUUUUUUUUUCCUGGGCAUUGAACCCAGGGCCUUGUGCACACAAGGAAAGCACUCUACCAAUUGAGCUAUAUCCCCAGCCCUUAGGCCAGCUUUUUCGAGAGCUACACAGUUGUGGGUACAACAGAGCACCAUGCUGCCCGCUUCUGCUCCUGACUCACUGCUGUUCGCUCGCCAAGAAACUGCCACAGCCUUGGCAUUUAAAGACACCCAUGGAACCAGGGAUGGCAGGUCACCAAAUUAGAAUCACCCUCACCAGCGGCAAUGUGAAAUCACUUGAGAAAGUGUGUGCUGACUUGAUCAGAGGCUCAAAGGAGAAGAAUCUCAAAAUGAGGGAACCUGUUUGCAUGCCUACCAACACUUUGAGAAGCACCACAAGAAAAACACCUUGUGGUGAAGGCUCCAAGACAGGAUUGUCUGCAGAUGAGAAUCCACAAGGACUCAUCGACUUGCACAGCCCUUCUGCGAUUGUUGAGCAGAUUACUUCCACCAGCCAGGAGUGGAGGUGGAAGUCACCAUUGCAGAUGCCUAAGUAAACUGUUUUAAUAAAUUAUUAGUUGUUAAAAAAAAAAAGUGUAAGGCCAGACUGGGCAACUUGAUGAGAUCCUGUCUCAAAAAUUAUAGUUUUUAAAAAGUGCUGGGGGCGUGUGGCUCCAUUGUAGAAUACCCCUGAAUUCAAUUGCCAGCCAAAAAUAAAAAUCAAGGGCUCAAAAUAUGAAUUUAUUUUCUUAUUCCUCUGUAGGUGAGAAAUGAAGUCCAACCUCAGGCUUGCUGGGCUGAAAUCCAGGUACUGGCACAGCUAACGACUCCUGGGGGAUCCAGAGAGGAAUCCUUUCCUGCCUUUUGCACACCUGUCUCUCCCACUUUGAAGGACCCUCGUGAUGACAUUAGGCCUGUGGGGAUAAUGCAGGAAGCACCUCUUACAAUUGUAGACUGGCAGCUUCCAUUCGCUUGUGAGACAAAUCACAGAUUCCAUGGGUGAGGACGUGGGCAUCUUGGGAACCAUCAUUCUGCCUUCCACAAGAUUUAAUAGCUACCAAGGGAAAACUAGUAAUUUUAAAGUGGAGAAACCAGAUCAGAUCACCACCAAUGAGACUUGCUGAUCCCAGGAAACUGUGAGGUGAUACACUGAAAGACACACCUCAUUUCUCUGGUUCUCUUUGCCAGAAAUGCACAACCCAGGCCAGUCAUGAGAAACUCACGAAUAGUCAGCAAAGUAGCUAAUGGGUACUCCUCAGAGCACAAGGUAGUAAAAGGAGGAAAUGAACUGCCACAGGUUGAGGAGGCUGAGGAACACCCAAUGUGUGAGCUUCUGGCAACAUUAAUGGAAAAACAUUCACAUUGGCUUUGGUUGGGUUUGUAGCACACCAGUGGCAACUUUCUGAGGCUCACAAGGGGACCCUCAGCACAGGAGAUGGCCAUGGUCUCACAGAGGCCCUUAUUCUACUUGCCACGAGACGUAUUAGCUUUUAGAACAAUGAUGCACACCUUUCCCAGCACCUAGGAGGCUAAGGCAAGAGGACUGCUUCAGCCCAAAAGCUUGAGACCUGCCUGGGUAACUUGGAAAGACCUCAGUUCAAAAAGAAAAAAAAAACAAAAAACAGAUUUUGGUCUUGUGAGGGAUUCUGGUAGUGGGAAUUGAACUCUUGGCCUUGGCUAAGGCUUCAGUCUAUCACUGGCUGCAUCUCCAGCCUCCAGAAAGCAAUGAGCACCUGAGCCAGGCACUUAGGGCUCAGGUUGAUAAGAUGGUAGAAACCCACAGGAAGUGUCAGCAGAGUGCCACAGCUGGAGGACUGGGGGCUAUGGAGGGGAGUGAAGGCUUAGGUGGAACGGCCUCAUGGAGAGACAGUGACUUAAGUGCCCACUCCCUGCCCUGCAGUGCCCUCUGCAUGAUCAGGGUCAGGUUGCACUGAUGGCUCAAGUCAUCCCAUCUCCUACCCCACCCUCGCCAUGAUGCCCACUUGAGCUGGGAGAGAUGAGGCUUCUUUGUUUUAAGCCACCCCCUGUGGUGCUUGUUCCAGAUGCAGGACACACUCUGAGUGGGCAGUCAGCCACUUCUAAACACAAGUGUUUGUUCAAUUAGUUUUAAGCUCACUCAUGGAUAAGACAGGUGCAUGCUGCAUUAGGUUUUGGCUACAAGAUAGCUAUUACCUGCCAGGGAAAUCCAACCUUAGCUCCCUUUCCACUUCCCCUUCUCAGUCCCACAAAAGCCACACGUGGAUACCACUGGGUUCCAACCCUGGCUUGUUGCUCCCUCUGGAGGACUUUCUGAGACAAGGGUGCCCCCAUCUCUAGCUGGGCCCGGAUGACCACCUGCAGUCCUCCAAAGGUCUUCUGUCUGAUAAAAGCCAAGGCCCCUGUAGGCUGCAACCUGGCUUCUGGGACCCUAGCUAUGAGUUGUGAAAGAAUUGUGUCAUUGUCCUCCUACUUCACACCAAGAAGGAUCCUGCCCUCACACUUGGCUGCUGGGUGGAGUUGUCAUGGAUAAGAAGG